UAAAGUUUUGGUCCUAAACUUGCCCUUGUUUUUUAUCAAAAUUACACAUGCAAGCUUCAACAAGCCAGUGAGAAUGCCCACAACCCCCCAAACAGCCUAAAGGAGCAGGCAUCAGGAACACCAAAAAUUUUAGCCUACAACGCCUUGCUAUGCCACACCCACACGGGUACUCAGCAGUGAUUAACAUUAAGACAUGAGCGAAAGCUCGACUUAGUUAUGAUUAAACCUGGUCGGUAAAUUUCGUGCCAGCCACCGCGGUUAUACGAAAGACCAAAAACAAGGACCCCCCGGCGUAAAGAGUGACCAAGAGAGCAUCUAACAAUUUAAAGGAAAACCACCUCAAAGUUGUAAAACACCUUGAUAAUGGGACCCCCAACAAUAAAAUGCCUUUAAACACCUAAGACCCCUCACCUUCACUAAAGCUAAGAAACAAACUAGGAUUAGAUACCCUACUAUGCUUAGCCCUUAACACAGACAACAGACAUACAAUGCUGUCCGCCAGAGAACUACAAGUGAAAAACUUAAAACUCCAAGGACUUGGCGGUGCUCCAUACCGUCCUAGAGGAGCCUGUCCUAUAAUCGAUACCCCACGUUAUACCCGACCAUUUUUUGCAACCUCAGCCUAUAUACCGCCGUCGUCAGCCUACCUUAUGAAGGCCAAAAAGUAGGCAAAAUAGUUAUUCAACUAACACGUCAGGUCAAGGUGUAGCACAUAAAAUGGGAGAGAUGGGCUACAUUUUCUACUUCAGAAAACACGAACUGCACAAUGAAAUACGUGCAAGAAGGUGGAUUUAGCUGUAAGACAAACAAGAAUGUUUCUCUAAACCUCGCUCUGGAGCGCGCACACACCGCCCGUCACCCUCAUCAACAUGAUCUUGCCCAAAAAUAUAGCCAAACUCAUACCUCAGAUGAGGAAAGUCGUAACAUGGUAAGCGCACCGGAAGGCGUGCUUGGAAUAAC
RNAcentral lists this non-coding RNA (960 nucleotides) under Eutropis multifasciata (many-lined sun skink). Its description in RNAcentral is "12S ribosomal RNA". It matches the Rfam family "Bacterial small subunit ribosomal RNA". Lineage: Eukaryota; Metazoa; Chordata; Lepidosauria; Squamata; Scincidae. The record is from RNAcentral.